This 264-nucleotide long non-coding RNA is filed under the name Jatropha curcas. Its description in RNAcentral is "long non-coding RNA (JCUR_LNC000455)". Lineage: Eukaryota; Viridiplantae; Streptophyta; Magnoliopsida; Malpighiales; Euphorbiaceae. The record is from RNAcentral.
AGUCAUCCGACUAGUUAUAUGCUCACGCAGCUAGUCACACAAAUGGCAUGUCACCAGCACUCACAAAUAAUAUCACCUUCAAAUAAUCACAUCACGUGGAAAUUGGUCUGUGGCGUCACCGAAACCCCCGAUGAGCCGUCCUCCCACAUGGCUCAUCCUCUCAUAACGUGUGCACCAGGGAGCCGAUCCCCCAUACUGGUCGACCGGUCUAAUCCUCACUUGACCAGCCCUCUCAUUGUUUUUCCAUUCUCUCUUUUCUUUUNN